AAGAAGAAGGAAGCACCUGAUCAACCAUCAAAGAAGGAUCAGCGCAGUACUAGCAUACUGUGCUGAUUUCCUGAAGCAGGAUUUCUGAUCGAGAUUCGUGGGCUCGUGUGGAUGACUCCUAGAGGCCGGAUGCAUGUGUGGCUUGCAACAUCAUCCUCAAGCCUGGAUCAGCGAGGUUAAAAUGUCUAACUUGUAAGGUAAUAGAUCUGAUCUAUUGUUUAAUACAUAC
RNAcentral lists this long non-coding RNA (229 nucleotides) under Elaeis guineensis (African oil palm). RNAcentral describes it as "long non-coding RNA (EGUI_LNC063728)". The record is from RNAcentral. Lineage: Eukaryota; Viridiplantae; Streptophyta; Magnoliopsida; Arecales; Arecaceae.